GGAUAGAUACCCUAUUAUUGAAAAUGUAAAAUUUAUAUGUUAAAUUAGUAUUAGUUAUGAACUUGAAAUUUAAAUAUUUUGGCGGUAAUUUAGUCUUUUCAGAGGAACCUGUCCUAUAAUUGAUGGUCCACGAUAAAUUGUACUUGUUUUAAUUAGUUUGUAUAUCGUCGUAGUUGAAUGUUUUAGUAGAAUUUUAAAUGUUCAUAAUUUAUAAUUUUAAAUUAAAUCAGAUCAAGGUGCAGCUUAUAAAUAAGAAGAGGUGGGUUACAAUAAAUUUAUUUAUUGCGGAUUAUUAGAUUAAAUUUUAAUAUGAAGAUGGAUUUGAAAGUAAUAA
RNAcentral lists this ribosomal RNA (334 nucleotides) under Hydrochara cf. caraboides/dichroma BBM-2012. Its description in RNAcentral is "partial 12S ribosomal RNA". The record is from RNAcentral. Lineage: Eukaryota; Metazoa; Arthropoda; Insecta; Coleoptera; Hydrophilidae.